This 492-nucleotide ribosomal RNA is filed under the name uncultured bacterium. RNAcentral describes it as "partial 16S ribosomal RNA". It matches the Rfam family "Bacterial small subunit ribosomal RNA", at positions 29 to 507 of the family's 1533-position model. The record is from RNAcentral.
AGUGAACGCUGGCGGUAGGCCUAACACAUGCAAGUCGAACGGCAGCACAGUAAGAGCUUGCUCUUACGGGUGGCGAGUGGCGGACGGGUGAGGAAUACAUCGGAAUCUACUUUUUCGUGGGGGAUAACGUAGGGAAACUUACGCUAAUACCGCAUACGACCUACGGGUGAAAGCAGGGGAUCUUCGGACCUUGCGCGAUUGAAUGAGCCGAUGUCGGAUUAGCUAGUUGGCGGGGUAAAGGCCCACCAAGGCGACGAUCCGUAGCUGGUCUGAGAGGAUGAUCGGCCACACUGGAACUGAGACACGGUCCAGACUCCUACGGGAGGGAGCAGUGGGGAAUAUUGGACAAUGGGCGCAAGCCUGAUCCAGCCAUACCGCGUGGGUGAAGAAGGCCUUCGGGGUGUAAAGCCCUUUUGUUGGGAAAGAAAAGCAGCAGGUUAAUACCCCGCUGUUCUGACGGUACCCAAAGAAUAAGCACCGGCUAACUUCGUG